AGGCCUUCCCCAGAAACCAUCACAUCGACAUUUCCUCCCAAUCACUUGAGAUGAAUGAAAACUGAAAAAGACAGAGACAUCCUAGCCAGCCCCUGGGUGGCUGGCUCUAUAGAUGCACCCCUCACCCAGGCUCCACAGCCAUACAAGAUUUCGGACCCGAAAAACAUGAAAGGGGCUUUGAGGUUUUCCGAUGACACCCCUCUCUCUGCCCGUUGCCUGGCUCACCCCCAGGUCCUGACUGGUACCCACACGGCAUCUGUUGACUGAUGGAGCAUACAGGCAAAAGGGGCAAAUCUCUGUUUUUGAAGGGAAUCUCCCCCAGGCUGUUUUGGAGACAGGGUUCUACUCUAGCCACCUUAAGUACCAUCCCAUCAAGGCUUGUGUGGACUUGGACAGCUUCCCUUGGGGAGACUGCAGGCUGGACCUCACAGGCCCUCAAGGGUCAACAGUACUUUGAGGACCCCAUGCUGUGAAAGAAAGCAAAAGGCCAGGACCCAAGUAGUACACAGUGGCCUGGGCUCUGCAGAACACACGUCGGCCAAGUAAGAAGCAGGUGGAUCGAUGGCACUCUUCACGCACCCAGGUCCCCAGACCCUGCAAUGCUGGGCCUGGGUGCAGCUUGUUCUUGGCACUGAAGGGAGGUGGGGGCUGGAGUUUCUGAGGGGGAGGAUAAACCACAAAGAAAGAAGCAACCCUGAGGCGACAGAUAGUGGGACAGCUGUGGACUGAACUUGGUGUUCCUGUCUUCCAUGUAGAUGUAUUAAUUUUCAUAAAUGCUAAUAGUCCA
Long non-coding RNA from Mastomys coucha (southern multimammate mouse), 787 nucleotides. RefSeq lists it as uncharacterized. NCBI's taxonomy places the organism in Eukaryota, Metazoa, Chordata, Mammalia, Rodentia, Muridae. The transcript has 2 exons. The record is from RefSeq and is a predicted model, not a curated record.